RNAcentral lists this long non-coding RNA (256 nucleotides) under Gossypium raimondii (Peruvian cotton). Its description in RNAcentral is "long non-coding RNA (GRAI_LNC008332)". Lineage: Eukaryota; Viridiplantae; Streptophyta; Magnoliopsida; Malvales; Malvaceae. The record is from RNAcentral.
UUGUAUUCGGUAUUACGAGAUUGUAAAAAAAUCAAAAAAAAUUCGAAAAAAAAUUCAAAAAAAAAGUUUGUAUUCAAUUUAAUUUUUUCUUUGUGUAUUCAGUAUUGAAAAAAAAAUUCAGAAUUAAAAAAAAAAGUAAUUGAAAUUCAUUUUGAGCUUGUAAAAGCAUUGCUUGCUGCCCGAAGGACCACAUCUAUACAGCCACACUAAUUUCCUUCUAUUUUCUUUGUUUGUUAGCCUACCCGAUCCUAAAAUA